GAUGAACGCUGGCGGCGUGCCUAAUACAUGCAAGUCGAGCGAACAGACGAGGAGCUUGCUCCUCUGACGUUAGCGGCGGACGGGUGAGUAACACGUGGAUAACCUACCUAUAAGACUGGGAUAACUUCGGGAAACCGGAGCUAAUACCGGAUAAUAUAUUGAACCGCAUGGUUCAAUAGUGAAAGACGGUUUUGCUGUCACUUAUAGAUGGAUCCGCGCCGCAUUAGCUAGUUGGUAAGGUAACGGCUUACCAAGGCGACGAUGCGUAGCCGACCUGAGAGGGUGAUCGGCCACACUGGAACUGAGACACGGUCCAGACUCCUACGGGAGGCAGCAGUAGGGAAUCUUCCGCAAUGGGCGAAAGCCUGACGGAGCAACGCCGCGUGAGUGAUGAAGGUCUUCGGAUCGUAAAACUCUGUUAUUAGGGAAGAACAAAUGUGUAGUAACUAUGCUCGUCUUGACGGUACCUAAUCAGAAAGCCACGGCUAACUACGUG
Molecule: ribosomal RNA, 496 nt
Filed under: uncultured bacterium
Lineage: Bacteria
Description: partial 16S ribosomal RNA
Rfam family: Bacterial small subunit ribosomal RNA
Source: RNAcentral